Schizophyllum amplum is the source of this 88-nucleotide non-coding RNA. The record is from the annotation of a GenBank genome assembly. Lineage: Eukaryota; Fungi; Basidiomycota; Agaricomycetes; Agaricales; Schizophyllaceae.
UGCCCCCUGGCCCAGCUGGUUAAGGCGUGUGACUGUUAAGUUCCACUUGGCAAUCACAAGAUCGUGAGUUCGAACCUCACGGGGGCAG